RNAcentral lists this non-coding RNA (108 nucleotides) under uncultured Dialister sp. RNAcentral's name for it is "FMN riboswitch (RFN element)". It matches the Rfam family "FMN riboswitch aptamer (RFN element)". Rfam says of the family: The RFN element is a highly conserved domain that is found frequently in the 5'-untranslated regions of prokaryotic mRNAs that encode for flavin mononucleotide (FMN) biosynthesis and transport proteins. This element is a metabolite-dependent riboswitch that directly binds FMN in the absence of proteins. In Bacillus subtilis, the riboswitch most likely controls gene expression by causing premature transcription termination within the 5' untranslated region of the ribDEAHT operon and precluding access to the ribosome-binding site of ypaA mRNA. The record is from RNAcentral. Lineage: Bacteria; Bacillati; Bacillota; Negativicutes; Veillonellales; Veillonellaceae.
CUCUUCAGGGCGGGGUGAAAGUCCCCACCGGUGGUUAUAGCCCACGAGCCUUUAUGGCAGGUCCGGUGUGAUUCCGGAGCCGACGGUACAGUCCGGAUGAAAGAAGAG